GUAGUUGUGGCUCAGUGGUAGAGCACUUGCCUAGCAUGUGUGAAGCACUGGGUUCAAUUCUCAGCACCAUA
RNAcentral lists this transfer RNA (71 nucleotides) under Ictidomys tridecemlineatus (thirteen-lined ground squirrel). RNAcentral's name for it is "Spermophilus tridecemlineatus (thirteen-lined ground squirrel) tRNA". It matches the Rfam family "tRNA". From Rfam's summary of the family: Transfer RNA (tRNA) molecules are approximately 80 nucleotides in length. The record is from Rfam by way of RNAcentral. Lineage: Eukaryota; Metazoa; Chordata; Mammalia; Rodentia; Sciuridae.